UCACAAAGACGAAGUUAACCGGCAA
This 25-nucleotide non-coding RNA is filed under the name Drosophila melanogaster (fruit fly). Lineage: Eukaryota; Metazoa; Arthropoda; Insecta; Diptera; Drosophilidae. The record is from RNAcentral.